RNAcentral lists this long non-coding RNA (742 nucleotides) under Setaria viridis. RNAcentral describes it as "long non-coding RNA (SVIR_LNC007236)". Lineage: Eukaryota; Viridiplantae; Streptophyta; Magnoliopsida; Poales; Poaceae. The record is from RNAcentral.
GCACAUGGAAUAUGGAGAUGGAGAUCACCAUGGUGAACAGGUUCUAUGGAGAUGGAGAUCACCAUAUGAAAACGGGCCAUACUGUGUCACAACUGUGUGAAUGCUAUUCUGUUUAUGUUUUACUUUCUGCAUGCUGUGAUGUUAGAAGUAGAACAAUCCCUCACAAAGUUUAAGUUAGUAUGCCCUCCCAACUAAAACUUGCACUGUCCCAUGUCUUGUACAAUUAGUGGUGGGUCUAUGAAAUUAGGGUACCACUAGUUUUCCUUGACUAGACGGGUUUGUGUCGGACACUUACACGCAUAAGGGUUGGUUUGCUUAACAAGGUUAUCUUAACGGUUAAGGACCUUGGGGUAUAAAGGUUGGGCGUCGAGACAUAGAGAUGUCACCCAACAACAGGAGUCAUAUGUGAUAUGAUUAGCAAAAGUUGCUUACCGAUCUACCUUGUUUGCUAGCGGUGAUGCUAAAGCUCACUAGUAGACUUGUUAGUUGUGGAUCCUGAAUCACUAAGUUUCAAUAGAGGGAUAUUGAUUUUAGUGGGAGUAGAUUCUGUAAAAAUAGUUUAAUGUGAUUUGCUCUAUCUUGGAUACGUUUGUCUUAGUGUAUUUUGCAUUACUUUGUUGUAGAUUAAAUGGCACCUAGCAGCACUACACCGUUUGCUUUGCGUUCGGUCCUUGAGAAGGACAAGUUGAAUGGAACAAAUUACUCGGAUUGGAUCCGUAACCUGAGAAUUGUUCUCAGUUCU